RNAcentral lists this long non-coding RNA (33833 nucleotides) under Populus trichocarpa (black cottonwood). Its description in RNAcentral is "long non-coding RNA (PTRI_LNC002017)". Lineage: Eukaryota; Viridiplantae; Streptophyta; Magnoliopsida; Malpighiales; Salicaceae. The record is from RNAcentral.
GGAAAAGCAAGGUUAUGCUAUAUGCAAAUAAAAAAGUAAUUAAGAAGGAAGAUAUGAUUCAAACUUCCAAGAAACUAAACAAAUCAGUUCAGCUCUAGAACUUCACAGAACUUACAUCCACGAUUGAAUUAGUACCUUAUUUCAACUAAACUUGGCAGAAUUUAACUUGUUUCAAGUCCCUAGGUCAGAUUAAAUUUAAAACUUAGAUGUGUUUCUCUCCUCUUAUUUGGCUGCAGGUAUCAAAUAUGAACUAUCUGGACAUUAAGAGCUGCGCACGGAAGAAUAAGAGGUAUAAACAAUGAGAGCACAUGUAAAACCUGAAGUAUAUAUUGCAGCUCAUAGUCCCGAGCUUUUAAAGAGGUCCCAAAGUAUCUACACGGAAGUGCAACGGAUAAUUAGCACUUAUUAACAGACCACUAUCCUUCGAUGGUAAGACAGAAACAUUUGAACUUUCAAAAGACUUGAGUCAAACCGCCUCACUCUCUAGUCUUCCCAGAAAGCCCCACAACAGAUAGUUCUUUAAUCCAAUGAGUGAGCAGUGUUUUAGGGGCCACAACCAAUACCCUCUUAAUCAAUUUCGAAUGGAAGAGACCUGCUAGAAAGCUACAAAUCUGCAGAAUAAAACAAAUGAAAUUUAAUCCAUAUAACAGUGGAGUCCAACUUAAUUAUCAUUAUAAAUUAUUGCAGGCACUUCCUUACCUGCAUCGUUUUUCCCAAGCCCAUGUCAUCUCCUAAGAUUCCACCCUUACCCUUGCAAUGCAAAGACCAGAGCCACCUUAAACCUUCACACUGAUGUGGAUACAGCAUUUUUGCAAUUUUACCAGGUAACUUGUAAGUAGAUUUUAGUCCAGGCAAGAUAAUGGAACCAUCAUCCUCUGACUCUGCAUGAUUUUCCAACACAGCAGUCUCAGAUUCACCAGAUAAUACAUUAUACUUGGCAAUGGCACCGGGUCUCCCAACUUUCUUGACCACCUUUUUUCCGGUCAAAACCACACAAUCAUCUUCAUCAUCCUCUGAUUCAUCUCGAAGACUAAGCACCGAAGACCGUCCUACAGACCUCAAUCUCUCAUUGAACCCAUCGGGUUCAUUUUCCUUCACUCUUUGAGUAACGUUCUUAGUUUUCUCCACCCUAGUUACAUAUUCAUCAUGGUUAGACUCAAUCUGCACAUCACUUUCAUCUUCUACAACAUUGGACACAAAAGGUUUUCCCACAGGGACUAACUUUUCAUCCACCCUUCCAUAUUCGUUCUUCUUUAGCCCUCUGCUAACCUCAUCAUCAAAUGACUCACUCAAUAAAUCACCCUCCUCAUACUCAUCCACAGCACUCUCAUCAUCACCUCCACCAUUUUUAAUAACAUCCAAUGAGGAAUCAGAUGGACUAGACGACAAAGAAAACAAAGACUCAGCACUUGCAUAUUCAACCACAUGAACUUUCUUGACCACAUUAUUAUUUUCAGGAACUCUCUUUUUCUCAAUUGACAAAAGGUCAAGCCUUGAGGUCAAAUCACUAAGAAUAUCUUUUAUCUCAUUAACACCCUUAUUAUUACCACAAUCACCAACACUUUUAGACGGAAUGGGUGAAUCAAAAUCGGCAAUAUCAUCAAAACUAGAAUCAUCUUUCACUUCUUCUCUACUUGCAUCAUCCCCAUCAUCUCCAGAAGAUACUUUGCAAAGUCUCCGUCUUCCUUCAAUCCUAACCUUCGUAGGCUUUUCUUCUUCUGAAAAAAUAAUUUCCCACGUCAAAACCCAAAAAACAAAAUCAAAACUUUUUAGCUGUCUCAUCUAGGGGUUUGUUAAUCAAUUUAAAUAGGAUGAAUAUGGCAGUCAAAUUAGGGAUUUUACCAGGUGAAGAAUCAAAAUCAGUGAUUCCACAGAAUUUAGGGAUAUUAUCAUCCUCUGGUUCUGCUUUGCAAAUACGACGUCGUCCGUCGAACUUCACGUUGAAUACGCUCUCUUCUUCUUCCUCUGUACACCAAACAAAUCGAUUCAAAAUUUCAACACCCUAGAAACCAUAACUCAUAAAAUUAAAACAAAAAAAAGGAGUUGGGGAGAGAGGGAGAGACCGAAGGACGUUACUGGCGGCGGAGGCGGUGGUUGUUUGGGAGGAGCAGAGACGUCUUGAAGGAGGCGAUAAUGGCGAUCGUUCAGACUAAUUGGUUUUCUGUGUGUGCUUUGUGAAAGAGCCGCCAUUUUUAUUUUUUGGAGAGAGAGAGAGAGAGAGAGAUUGCAAAGGGAGAAAUGUGGCGUUUUAAUAUAAUGUAAAAAGAAAGAAUCCGUUGGGUUUAUUAUAAUUGAAUUUGAAUUGAAUGGGUUUUCCCUCUUGCUUCUGUUUUUUUAUAUUUUUUAAAAGUGUAUUUAUUUUAAAAAAUUAAUAUUUUUAUGAUUAUGAUAUAAUGAUGUUAAAAAUAAAAAAAAUAUUUUAAUAUAUUUUUAAAUAAAAAAUAUUAUGCAUUAUAAUAUCAAACAUUUAGUUUACUUAUUAGAUAGGUGGUCUGCAUUACGUUACAAACCAACCUAUUUUUUUCAACAAAAAAAAUGUCAACACGAUAUAAAUAUUCUUAAAAAAAGAAAAAAAAUAUAAGAUUCUAAUCAUUAACUCGAUUGGGUGUAAUAAACUCAGUUAAUUUAAUAAUAUAAUUAGAAAAAAAAAAAGAUAUCGAUAACAAAUGAAGCAAAAAAAAUCACCAAUAAUUCAUUACAAAAUAUGAAUGUUUGUCAAUAUUGUGAAAAUAUAUUUUUAUAAUAUUCUUAAAAGGUCAUAAUGAUCUAAUUUGUUAUCAAAGUGAAAAUUAAAUGAAAACAUGAUAAUUACAUAAAAAGAAAAAUCAAAAAAUAAAUCUCAAUUUCCAGUAAAUAAAAUAUUGAAUGAAAAAACUGAAAAGAAAAUAAUUUUAAAAAACAAACAAGAAAUUGACUUGAGUCUAUUUGAGCCAGCAUGCCAAAUCUAUAACUUAGUCAUGAGAGCGAGAUGACCCCGUGGAAAGUAAAUCAAAUAAAAUUGUGAAGUUCAAUUCUCAAACCAACCUAAUAUUAAAGGAUAAAAUUAAAAAAAAACAACAAAAAAGACCCAAGUCAACCCUAGCGAACCUGCCGAAUUCAUGAUAACACGAGAUCAGAAUAACCUUAUAGAAAAGAAAGUUAUAAAAAUAAUAAAUGUCAGUCUCCAACUAACCCAAUGUUGAGAGAUGAAAUAAAAAAAAAAACAUAAAAAGACAAAACUAACUCGGCCUAAACUUCAAACCCCAUGAAAGGAUCAUGAAGCUAGAUUACACCAUAAAAAAACAAACCUGAAAAAAUAACAAUGUCAAAUUCAUAACCAACUAAAAUAAUUAGGAAAAAUUAAAAAAAAUAAAUUCAAUAAAAAAUAUCAAAAAGAACAAAAAUAGAUUUAAAAAUACCAAAAUAACUUUUUUAUGCACUAGAUUGUAUUUAUAAUACAUGAGUACUAGAGCAUAUGGGAUUCAAAAUCCCAAAUAAAUUUAUUCUUUUUUUAAAAUUUAAAUUUGAUUAGAAUUUAAAAACAAAUUUGAAAAUGAAUAACUAAAAUUAUCAUGAUAAUCUAUUUUCAAACUAAAUAUUAGGAGAGAUGGACAAAAAUAUAUUAUAAUCCAUAGUUUUCACUGCUUGAUAAAUCACUUUUUCAAUCAAAAUUAGUUACUGAUCUUUUAAUUUCAAAAUUUAACCCUCUUAAAAAAUUAAAUUAAAUUAAAAAUAAAUGGAUUCAAAUUAGGUUAUAACAAUUAAAAAAAACAAAAACACCCUUGAAUGUAAGCCUUAUAAAUUUUUUAAUCCGAGGGUAUAAGAGUCUAUUCACUGUACAUUAUAAAAUAAAAAGAUGUUAUUUUCCCUUUAAAUUUUAAAAUGCUAAAUGAACCAUUAUAAAAUUAUUGAAUUACUUCAAUAGAAUGGUUUUUCUUCUUCAAGGGAAAAAUAGGUGUUUCACUUCGAAGUUUGAAAAUGUCUCCCAUUCCCUCUACCCUUUUUACUUUGAUUUCUUGUUUUUCAAUCUCAUCAUUCCCUAAUAAAUUAGCCUAAAUUGAUUUAUAAUUUAGUCCAAUAAAUGCUAAAUUAAAAUAUAAAAAUGAUAAAUAAUAAUAAAAGAAAACAUUAUUUAAUUACAAUGUGUUCAUAAUAUUUUAUGACUAAAUGUAUAUUGCAUUGUGUAUUGCGAAUCCCUACACCUUUUAAAUUUAAUUAUAAUAAGCUCUAGAUAAGUAUUUUAUUAGUGAUGCAUGCUUGACUUUAUAAUCAAUUAUGAGUUCAUUUAGCAUUGCGAUAACAAUUGGUUUUUAAUAUAAUUUUUAUAUGAAAAUAUAUUAAAAUAAUAUAUAUUUUUUAUUUUUUAAAAUUUAUUUUUGAUAUUAGCAUAUCAAAACAAUCUAAAAACAAAAAAAAUAUUUUAAAAUAAAAACAAAAUUCAUUUUUUUUAAAUACUCUUACACCAUAGAAACAAACAAUGCCAUAUAUGUAUCUCAUAAAAAAGAGCCCAUACAUUACAUAAACACUUGAAUAUUUUGAACGGCAGUAGAAUGCUAAUCCAGUGGCUUGCUAUCUUAUUGUCAUUAACAUUGAUGUUGUUUUGAAAUUAUUUUAUUUUUAUAUUUGAAUUGAAAUAAUAUAUAUCUAAUUAAUAUUUUAAAUUACACACGUAUAACAUACUUAGAAGCUGGAAUUUAUCAUUUCAAUAAUAAUAAAAAAAACCAAACAGGAUUUACAACCUUGGUUAAGAACAAAAACAAUUUUUUAUAUUAAAAAAGUUACAACAAGAUCAGAACUAUUUUUAUUAAAAAAAUAAAAAUUAUAAUUUACAGUAGUAUUUUGAUAUUUUGAUAUUUUAUAUUCAUAAUAAUCUAAUUGUAUAAUUUUAAUUUUUUUUCAUUCAAAUUAAAAAAAUUAUCAUGGAAAAUUUGUUAACUAAAAAUAAUAAUUUAUAUUAGAUUUAUAAAUUGAAUAUAAGAAAACGAAUUAUACCUUUUACGUUGUUCAAAGGAAGAAAAUUUUUGCAUUAUUCAUUUCUUUUCUUCAUUUGAAAAAAUAGUGGAAAAUUUAUAAAAGAUAAUUAUGAAGAACCUCUAGAAUGUGUUUUACAAACUCACUAUAAAUUUUAAAAAUUACCUAUGGAGAAAUAUUAAAUUUCAACAAGAAAUUUCAGUUUUUCUUUUUUGAACUUUAAUUUUCUAGAAAAAUCAAAUAUUAAGAACUCCAAACAGUUAUAUAUAUAUAUAUAUUGUUUUGAUAUCUUCAUGAACAAACGAUGAGCUCAUUAGCCUUAUUAUCCAGAAGAAGAAGAAGAAGAAGAAGAAGAAGAGCUUAUUAAUUAUUAUUAUUAUAAAUAAUUGGACAAUUAAAGAUGGCAUCAUCUUCGGAUCAAACUAAAAUGACCAUCCCUUUGCACUUCAGGUCUAUAUGCUUAGAUGAUGAUGAUCGUUCUGCUGGAUUUGUAUCGAUCCAACCAAGGAGUGGUGAUGGUAGAUGCAGGGCGAAUUUGGGAUUUGCUUUGAUUCCUGAGUAUUGGAACCAAGGUGUUACAACUAGAGCUAUUACUGAAGGAUGGAAGUUGUUUCCUGAAGUGGCUAAGCUUGAAGCUAUGGCUGAUGUAGAUAACAAUGGCUGCCAUAGGGUUAUGGAGAAACUUGGGUUCCAUAAGGAGGGUGUCCUGAGGAAACACACGGUCAUCAACGAUAAGGUUAGGGAUGUAGUCUUUUAUUUACUGAUUAUAUGCCUUGAAAUCAACUGUUUUCUUUAAUUUUCAGCCUAUCUUGAGCUUGAAUCCUGUCCUAUAAUCACCAAUAAAAGGCCUAAUUAAUUCUCUUUGUAAGCAUUUCUUUGUGCUCGUAAUAAAAAUGGGUACUCUGGUUUUUAUGCUUUAUUAGAAUUGUGAUUUGUGCUCUCUGAGGCUUUUAGACAUGGUUUAGUUGCCUAGACUAGAUAUGCUUCUGGGCAAAGUUAUUAUUGAUCUAGAAAAUCUCAUUUGAAUUAAAAAAAAUAUGAUCAAACCCGGUUGAAAUGUGACCCGGUUUACCUUGCCAAACAUGGUUUAAACUCGGCUAAAUCAAGAUUUUUUAAAUAAAACAAUGUUAUUUUAAUUAAAAAAAAAACAAAUUUACUAAGGUUAACCCGACAACCUCGAUCAUCCAAACUGGAGAAAGUGUCAUUGAACAUGUACAGUCAACGAGAUGUUUGGUGAUCUUUAAUAAAAGACCAACUAGCUAGAGCAAAAAUAGGACUGUCAGGAACUUCGAGAUAGCAACUACUGGAAACAAUAAUCAAACAGAGGAUUAACAAGGACAAAGAGAACAUAUUAAGCUUUACAUUGUAUAUGCAUUGAUUGAAGAUUGCAUUAACAAUACUUAAUUAUCCACAAUUUAAAUACAAGAACAUAAAAGAACAGAAACCAGGAAGUCUGUCUUGUAUUCGAAAUUUUCUGACAGGAAAUCUAUGAAUGGAGUGAACAAGAGAAAAAAUGCCUAUACCUAAGAAAUCUGUGAAAGGAAAAAGAAAAAAAAUAAUGCCUAGUAAAUCUGGGAAGGAGAACAAACAUUCUUGAAACAAUCUCAAGAUCAUUGUAAUGACAGAUACAUAAAUCAUUUUUUUCUGUAUUCCAUCCAUGAUCAGUGUAGUUUUAUGCAAUUUUGUGUGAUGUUAUGACCAGACAUGUAUGUGUGUAGCUAUUGGAUUGUAGCAAGGACAUGAACGGCUUCCCUGGGGAAAACAGAUCAAGGAUUGGAUUGAGGAAGCUCCUCUCUUCAUUCAAAUCAUCACCACCUUAGCUCAAUGAAUCAAUCAACAUGCCAUGGAUGAGGUCAAUGGCAAUUCACUCUCAUGUGACCUAAAAGACAUGUUGAUUGAAUUGCUUGCUGAUAAAUUCCUCUUAAUUGCAGUUUUUCCAUUGCCACCACCACUAUCAUUUCUCUCUACCAUCACCAUGGGCCCUUCAAAAUCAUCCUGACUUCCAUCUCCUCCCGGAUUUUCGAUGUUACCAGACUCGUUAUCAGUUGCUGCAUUUCCUGUCGUGUUAAAAACAUUUGGAUGACCACCUCCUGCAUCACCACCACCAUUAAUAGAACCAACAGCAAUCCGAAAUCCAAAGAUUCGAGAAAGAAUUCGAUAGAAGCAUGUGAGUACCCAAAAUAGCCAAGGCAGGCAAACCAGGGCUAUACCUGCAACAGGAAACCAAGCCCUAGAUGGGUCUGCAGGGAGGACAACGUACAUAAGCAGCAAGCUGCCUCCAGCAGCUAUAGUAAUAAACAAGAAGAAAGAGACGAGCCAUAUAAAUAAGCGCCCGGAAGUGGGGUCUUCUACAGGCAUUUGUGUAUUGAGACUUGACGGACAAGAAGAUCAGAUGAUUAUUAUUUCCUCUUUAUCCUCAUCCAUUUUUGUUCAUUGAGGAAUUGGUGUAUGUGUGAUCAAUGAGAGAAUAUUACUUUGAUUUUUCUGGGAUAAUGAAGAAUUCAUGAGAGAUGACGAUGAAGAUGAACGCUGCUGUUCCUUCUUGUUAAUUGCAUGCAUAAUGAGGAUGCCUCAUCAGAUUUUUCACAGGGUGGACAUAUUCAAAUCUGUCUUACGUAAAACAUGGUUAGUUUUCGAACCAAGACACAUCAAAGACAGAGACAAGGGAGUGGAAAUCGGGUAGGAUUUGCUGUUAUAACAGAUCAGGCUAUUAAUUUCCAAAAUUUGUGCACCCUACAUGGCUCGUUUCUUAAUUUUUAUACCUCAGGGCAUAUCUAUUUUUAGCUAUACACUAUUUUUUGAGGCGAUAAGGACAACAGCUUGAACCUAAGAUCUCCAUCCCUCUUGCCUGUUCCAUGAAAUGAAGCAUGAUUAACAACCAUUGGAGGCAAUCCAAAAUCUCAAUCUCAACCACCAUGUUCACUUGCUUCCACCAACAUUAUGCUCCACCACCUAAUUAUUAUUCCCAGCAUUCCCUCUCCUGCAAAAUAACCUCAGUUAACAUGUACAGCUCAUUGUUCAUUGCCUCAUCAAUUUGUAUGAAAUUUUUGUAAGAAUUUAUUUGUUUGUAAAUCAUUUUCCAAGUUUAAGGCAAUCUAAAUUUCGACCUGUACCAAAUACAGAAAAGCAUCACUGAUAAUAGCCACUAGCCUAGCCAUGGGAUUCAUUUCUCCGUCAGACAUUAACCUGCUUAUCAUGCACUGAAACGACUCAAAAAAUGCCCUGAAAUAACAAACAUUUAACACCUAAGGACUUCUCUUCACCUCUAUUUCUAGCAAUACCGGGUAUAACUGACUAGUUGUGAUUUACAUAAUCCACUUUUCAAAAUUGCCGAGUGUGCCGAAUGACCCAAAAGGGCCGCUGCAAUCCACUCAGAUGCUUGCUUUCUCUCCUCGGUGUCAAUGGUUCAGUAACCAAAUUCAUAGGAAAAAGGUUCAUGAGAGAGAGCACCCAAUACAGAGGAGCCUCGAUAAAAUAAAGAAUAAAUGCAGACUAAUUACAUGGGGUGUGAUUAAUUCAGAACAAAAUAAAUCUAGCUUGCUAAGAUGACGAAACUAUGAAUAAGGGAACUUAAAUGACGAAUAUUCUGUUAGAAAGUAGAGAAAAUGCCUGAAAUUAUUUUGCAUGCAAAGCUUAUGAGGGUGGAUCAUAAAAACAUACUUCUUUACAAGGCUGCACAUUCUGUAGCAGCCAAUGGAUGCGGGACAACUAUCACCAGGUUUAGCAACAGCAGCGAAGGGGAGAAGCAAGGAGUUUCAUAGGUCCUGCCACCGAACAAAUUUAUCAAAAUUGCCACCCCAUCAUUUUGUAAGGCUUUAAUUGUUGAAAGUUAGACCCAUUCUUCAGUCAAGUGAUAGUGAACUACUAUGAAAAACUGAUAAAUGGACAUAGCUCCAAAUCUGAGCAGCAGAUGAUAUAAGCAUUGAAUCUCUGACCCAUUGGAAACAUUUCACAAGCUCAAUGUUUUUGACGAAGGGACACUGGACUCAUGAUCAGUUUCUAAAUUAUGACAGAAGUCUGCAUCUGGUGUCUCCUCUGUUCCUGAGCUUUUCAGCGGUUGGCAUAAUGAGAAGAACCGUAAUGUCAGCAGGGCUCACCCCACACUCUCUGCUUGCUUGACCAAUGGUUUGUGGCCUGCCUUGAACAGUAUAAUUUACCAGAACCAUAUUUUGUAAGAACACUCGAUGUCAGAGUCACGGCAUGGGGGCUCGGAAAAAUAACAAGAAUUGGUGUCGUGGUGAUGCUUUCUCAAAAAAUUAUGUCCAGUGGUAGGAAUAUAGAGGAUAAUUUCAAACAAGAGCAUCUUCUCAAUUCUCACUUGCUCAGAAACAGCCAAAAGGAUAUCAUCUUCUCAAUUCUCACUUGCUCUUAAUUUGAACUCGGCAUUGAAAUGGCAAGUUGUACAGUAUACCAGAUGCACAGAAAAAAGUAAAAACAAGCAUGAAGGAUGAUAAAAAAUAACUUCCCUACACCAUAACUUGUAUCAGACAAUAACAUUGAAAACAGGAAAAAGGAGUUUAAUCCAGAAAAUUGUCAGAAGCACAGGAAGACUUGGAGAGCUUCUCUAGUGCUUCAAGGGACAAAGUUGUCAUUGCAUAGUAAUCCAAGUCCCCUGGAAGUGGUCUAUAUUGUUGAUGGGCUAUCUACAAGUAGUUUAUAUGACAAGAUAAAGAAAUCUAUGGAGAUAAAUCAACUAAUCGACACCAGACUAUAUAGACAUGCUAAAUAAUUUGAAGCGAGUAAAAUUUCGAAACCCUUUUUAAUCCUAGAGGAGAACAGUGAUUUCUUACCGGUUGGAGUUAAAUUUGCAGGCGCAUAAUGAAGCCCUCGUACCUGACAUCAAUCUCUACACACUCCUCCUUUCUGGAUAAUUGUCCAUUCCCAAAACCAAGCUUAUCAAAAACUUCAUAUUGCACACGUGGUUUCUUUUGAAGACUCCAGUGUUGAAGAGUCCCUCCGGAAACACGACUAACAUCAGCAGCCAAAUCUCCUCCUGAAAGUAUUUGGAAACAGCAGUCAACUUGGAUCCUUGUACAUAUGUUCCAAAACUUAACCCUAUGUCUCCUCUCUCUGUCUCUGCUUGGUCUUGAUUGACCAAAUUUGAACAAGAGAACGAAAGUAGUCAGCUUGGAUCCUUGUACAUAUGUUCCAAAACUUAACCCUGUGUCUCCUCUCUCUGUCUCUGCUUGGUCUUGGUUGACCAAAUUUGAACGAGAGAACGAAAGUAAUCCAAAAAUCCCUCUGACAUGGAUAACCUAUGUUGACCUGAGAUCAUAAUUCAUUGUUCUUGACAUGGUAAUUCACCUUAUUGAACGAAAGUAAAUUUACUAUGCACAAAAAAAUGCAAUCACUAACAUAACCUUAUACAAAUUGUUAAAGACCGGUGGAAAAAUCAUCUUGCUCCUAAUAUUUUGUGUAAAGGUUUUUUUUUAGAUCAGGGGCAAUUUUAUCGAACUGUGGUAGAUCAAUAAAUUUACUGUACACAAAAAAUGAAAUUACUAAACCAACUCUGCACAAAUUAUGAAAGAUAAUUUUAUCACAAUGAAAAUAAAAAGACGACUUUACCUCUCAUAUCUAGUGAAUAAUAAUAAUAAUUUGUUUUGGAGCUAGAGUAACUUGUCGCUCUCUCUCUCUCUCUCUUUUUGUUAAUACUGCUUUGUCUUUUUUUAAUGCAAGUCACCUUUCCCCACUAUUUAUUAGCAGCACAAGAAGGUGCUCUGUCUACUAAUCUGUGUCCAAAAUAUAAUAGCUUAAUUGAGAAAUGGCAGGACUGUUUGACAAGCAAGCUGAUCUAUACUUGGAUGGAAGGCCGACUUAUCCAGCCCAAUGGUAUUCAAUGCUAGCCGAUCACACCCUUCACCACUCUUUGGCUUGGGAUGUUGGCACUGGCAAUGGCCAAGCUGCUCUUGGUGUUAGUUCUCUCUUUCCUUUUCUUUUCUCUAACUAAUAUAUUUAUUCCUCAAGUUUCUUGCUUUCUUUUUCUCUCAUAAUGAUCAGAUGAUUGUGCUGUGUUAUUCAGUGGGUCCAAAUCAUCCUCUCAUGGUUAACUGCCAUCUUAUUAUCAGAUGGAACUCCUUGAUUUAGUCUAAGAUCAGUUAUAUUGAUUCUGCACCUGCUCUUUAUGAUUUUGACCAAGAAUAAGGUUAUUUGAUUCAAUCAAGAAAACUAAGUUUCUUGUUUUAGGCUAAAGAUUUCAUGUGUCUAUAUAUCCACAUGAAUUCAAUUUCGAAUUCUUGAUUUUAUUUCCCUUUUGAUUUUGUAUCUCUACUGAUAUAUAUUUUCCUCAACUGGGGAUAAAGGUUUGAUUAUUAGCUUUAGAUUGGUAUUCUUUCUCAAAAAACAAAAGGGAAAGAGUGAAUAUAUGUUUCUAAAUAAGAAAAUGAUCAGAUGGGCCAGCAGAUUUCUCUUUGCAUCUCUAGGUUUAGAAGGAUAAGUCGUGUGUCUUUGCUACUUGAUUGCUGUGAUGGUGUUUUAGUUGCUAAUACUUGAUCUCACAUAAAGUAUUGCUUCCCAAUUUUAUUGUUUCAAUUUUGAUAAGCAACUGGAAGAUUUCACUUCAUAUAAUUCACGUUGCUAGAAAAAAAUGAACCAUUCAUCUAAACCUCUUACCCCAAUAGUAGAAUUGAAUGAAUUUUCUUGGCUUUGUUUGGUUGAAAAGCGGUUGUUUUCUGGUCUAAACCUCAGGCUGUUGUAGAUUUUCUCAUUAAACGGCUGCCUUGUGUAACAUGCUGCAUAGACUUUUUUGCAUACAAGUGUUCUGCUUACAUUGGUGGAACACUCUCUCUUAAAGUUAGAUGAAGUUCAGGCUCUAGUUGCUUUCUGCCAUUUCAUCUUAUAUGCAUUGUGGUGAGUGAAAUGGAACAGUUACAAGAAUCUUCCAACUUUGUUUUUCUGAGAGAACAAAGUAACUGAAAGGUGAUUGCCAACUUUCUAUAGCUGCAAGUGAAAAAAUGCAGAUUAUUCAACUCAUUUUCAACCUCAGUAUUCAGUAGUUUAGCCUGCAUAAGUCCAUGGAUUUAUCAAGAUUACUGGAUCAUUGUGUUUAGUUUUUCUUGGUAGGUUGCUGAGCACUAUGAGCAAGUAAUUGGAACUGAUGUGAGUGAAGCUCAAUUAAAACGUUCAAUGACACAUCCACGGGUUCGAUACUUCCACACCCCAUUAUCCAUGUCUGAUGAUGAGAUAAUAAGCUUAAUUGGGGGUGAAGAUUCAGUUGAUUUGGUGACUGUAGCACAGGCUGUGCAUUGGUUUGAUCUACCAAAAUUUUAUUCCCUCGUUGCACGCCUUCUAAGAAAGCCUGGAGGUCUACUUGCUGUUUGGUGCUACAAUGAUGCUGUAGUGAGUCCUGCAUUUGAUUCAGCAUUUAAGCGGUUUCAUGACUCAACUCUUCCUUUUUGGCACCCGAAUGCCUUUCUCGCAAUCGAAGGUUAUAAGAGACUUCCAUUUCCUUUUGAGAGUAUUGGUUUGGGUUCUGAAGAGAAACCACUAGAACUUGACAUCCCAAAGGAGAUGUCAUUUGAGGGGUUUUUGAAGAUGAUCAGUUCAUGGUCAGCAGUCGUUACAGCCAAGGACCAAGGUGUUGAGUUGCUGUCUCAGACCGUUGUUAAAGAGUUGGAGACUGUUUGGGGUGGAUCUAAACUGGUCAGGUCUGUCAUCUACAAGGCUUUUAUGCUUGCUGGAAAAGUCAGGCUGUGAGAUUUUCUUUUCAAGCUUCAAUGAGGAGAAAAGUUUAUUGAAAUAAAUAAUUCCAGCUUAUUUGCCUUCUCCUAUUAUAUGACUUGUCUUCUUGCUCUUCCAAUAACAUGUUUGUAUACUUUUCAUAACUUUAGCAACAGCUUCAUGCAUGAAAAUUAAAAGUACCGUUACGGUUAUUUUUGAAAAUAAUUUUUAUUUAGAAAUAUAUUACAAUAAUCUUUUUAAAAAAAAAUUAUUUUUGAUAUUAGUGUAGCAAAAUGAUCUAAAAACAUAAAAAAAUAUUAAUUUGAAACAAAAAAAAAUAAAAAAUUUUCAAUUUUUUUCAAAAGUGUUUUUGAAAUGCAAAAAAAAAAACCAGGGUCUAAUAUUGACCGAGAAUGUUUUUUGCUAGCCAAUGGAUAAAUACUUAAACAUCUCAACCCAUCUUAUUGUUUAUUUCAUGUUCCCAAUCUAACUAUUUUAGAGUUAUCUUGACAUGAUACAAUUAACUUAAUAAGUUUAAAAACAAAUUAGAUUUAUGUCCGAAACAACACAUUACCUGUUUUACUUAGAUCCCAGCGAUGUAGGUUAUUGAAAAGUUGGUUCAAAAGUGUUUUACACCCAAAAAUUCAUUUUCAACAAUAUUUUGAAUAAAAAACCCCUAAAAAAGCAAUAUAUGGAUCUAAAUAAACUCAAUUUUGUUUUCAAAUAACCCAAAAAAACUAUCUAAAAAUAAAAUAAAAAUAAACUCAAAUUCAAAAAAACACUCAAGAUCAGAUCUAUUUUUUUAGACAAUUUAAAAAUAAAAAACACCAUAAUGAAACUCUCUUAUUAAAAGAAACCCAAUAAUAUGAAAUCAACUAUUUUAAUGAUUAAAAUCAUUAUUUAUUGAAGACUGUCAUCCACCCUAUAAAAAAAUAUCAAAGUUUAGAUGCGUGGGUUCAAGUUGGCAAUUCAAGUAUUUUUUUUUUAAAUAUUCAUUGGUUUUUUAAAUAUAUUGGCGGUGUCUAUUUUUUUUUUAAUCUAAAAACUGACCCGCAACGUAUGCAGGCCAUUGAUUUGAUCUAGAUGCUGAAUAAAUUGGGGCCACUUUAGCAGCAGACCUACAUUGCAGGUCAAAUUUCCCACCUUUAAACAAUAAUUAUAUCAGUAGAAAAUAAGGAUCAUUUCUUCCUUAUAAAUUCAGCAUCUUCUUCAAACAGACUAAUGUAGGGAGAAAAAAACACACAAGAAGAUAGCUACCACAACUAUAAGAGGAUUUAUAUACACGAAGAAGCUUAAAAAAACAUUUUUUAUAUAAAAUUAUCAAGAUAAAUUGUUUUUUAAAGUAAUAGCAGCCUUUAUUAUUUAGCAAAAUUCUAAGGAUGAAAAAGAAGAUGGGAUUGGGUUGAAGUUUGAAACAAUUUCUAGCCAUUGAAAACAUGGUUUUGUAUUGUCAAAACACAAUAUGAGAAUUGAAAGGUCUUAGAUAUGAUUGUUGUGUUUGAGAAAUCGAUCCCCAUGAACAAGAGAUAAAAAAAAAAGAGGAAGGGAAGAUGGCAGAGAAGUUAUGAAAAAGAGCAUAAUUAAACUCUGUCAACUAAGAUUGAUCUGGUAAACUUGCUAUUGUUAGAUUUUAAUUUGAACUAGUUUCAACAUUAACAGACGUCUUCCUGAAUUGAGUUAUAGAUGUUGAUGUUUCUGCCUAAAUUCACACGGUGAAAAAGCAAUAUUUCUUCCCAAAAUGAAGUGCUUUCUCGGUCUUCUGAGGGAUUUUUUUUUCUUCUGAUGUUGAGUUCAUGGUCUGCGGGCAUUACAAGCCAAUGACCCAGCUGUGGUCCUGUGGAGCAGCUUGUAGACUGGUUAGAUCCGUCCUCCACGAGGCUUUUAUGCUUGCGAGAAAAGUUAGGCUGUAAGGAUUUUUGUUUCAGCAUUCAACAGUGAAACAUUGAUUGUUAUGGUUACUACUUCCCUCCCUCCCAUCGUUUGUAGUUGGUUAACUUGCAGAUAGUAGCUUUGGUUCCAGAAUGACACAACCAAAUAAUCAUAUCAGAAUCAAGAACAUGAUUCCCAAUGUGCACAAUAUGCUUUGUUCUGUGAAUCAUAAAGAUUAAAAAGGUUUGUUUGGCAAGCAGGCAGCAAUGUCUUUGGCUGCAAGGCCAAGAAAUCCAGGAAAAUGGUUUUCAAGGCUGGCUGCUCUCACCCCUCACCGCUAUUUGGCUUGGGACAUCGGCACUGGAAAUAUUGUUCAAGCUACUAUCGGUGUUAGUUUCCCCUGAUCUCUCUUUAAGACUCAAUAACUAAACUUCAUAUAUUAGCAUGCUUUUCCUACCAGUACAAUCCAAUGUAUGUUGUUUUCAGGUUGCGGAGCAUUACAAGCAAGUGACAUAAGUGAAGAACAGCAAAAGCAUGCUGUGCCACAUGCCCAAGUUCAGUAUUGGCACACCCCAUUAUCAAAUGUCUGAUGAUCAACUAGUAGACAUAAUUGGUGGUGGAAAUUCUGUUGAUCUAGUAACAGUUGCUGCAGCUUUGCAGUGGUUUGAUCUUGAAAGAUUUUAUCCUAUUGUCAAACGCAUUUCUGAAAAGCCAGCAGGACUGUACUUGCUGUUUGGGGCUUUAGUAUAAACACCAUCCAAGUCAACCUAGAAUUUGAUUCUCACUUGUGCAAAGUUUUUUGAAACAACUUUUAUUUUUCAAAACCCAAAACUCAGGUAUUCAAUUGAUUGUUACAAGACACUUCCAUUUCCAUUUGAAAGUGUUGGUGUAGGCUGUGAGGGGCAGUCACAGGAAUUGGACAUGCCGCAGUAGAUGUCAGGUCAUUUUCUCCAGUCAAUACAGCUAAGAGGCAAAGUGUGGAUUUGUUGUCUGAGGAGGUUGUCAAGGAACUCGAGGGUGCUUGGGAUGGUACUGAUUUGGUUAGAACUAUCAACUAAAAAUCAUAUAUGCUUGCACGAAAAAUGAAGCUGUAACUGGAAAUGAUAUUUUGUUGCUCUUCAUGAAUUGAGUGAAAACUUCAGGAUUGGAUUUGGCUUUUCAUGGCUACAAGAAAAGUGAAGCUGUAAUCAGAAAUAAUGUUUUGUUGCUCUAUUAUUGAUGAUUCCCUACUGUUAACAUCAAAGGCCCAAAUAAUGUUGUUAAGGAAUUGGAGACCGGUGAUACUGCAUGGGCUUUGAUCUGGCAGCUGCAAGUCUUUCAUGCUUAUCAGAAGAGUUAGGCUGUGAAUUUUACCUUUUAUGCUUCAAUGAGUAAAACAUUGAUUGUAUUUGGUCAAUACCAGAAUAAUUUGUGCUCGUUGAAGUUUAUACAUGUACGUACGUACUGUUAUUUGAGCAUUCAUCAUUCCAUUACUCUAAAAAAUCAAGCAUACUUUCUCUUCAUUCAAGCGUAAAGUAUUAAUUAUACGCUAUAAUACUAAACAUAUUAAAAAUAAAUUUCAUUAUUUUAUAUUAUAAUUUAUGUUUAUUUAUUAGUUAAAGAGAUACCAUUGAAAGUUUGAAAGGUUGCAGGUUUGGCCAUUCAUGCAGGUUAAUUUCCUUUCUAAACCAAGGGAUGUUAAGGUUCUAGUUAUUAGUCGCUACCUUGAGUUAAAUAAAUUUUUUUUUUGGGGGGUCAUACGUACAUUUUUGACCGACUUUUCUAAUUGCGUAGAAGAUGUAGACAUGCUAUGGUUUUUUCUCUAAAUUCUCCAAGUUUCAGGUCACUCUAUUGAAUAGUCAGAUUUGGCAUGAAUCCUAUAAAUUACAGUCCUUCAUUCACUGCUAAGAGCAUUCAGUUUCAGAUAUAACAUCAGAAUUCACAAGAUUUAGUAUGGCAGAUCAUCUGUUCAACAAGCAGGCAGCUAUAUAUUCGGAGGCAAGGCCCAGAUAUCCGAGCGAAUGGUUCUCAAUGUUGGCUGCUCUCACCCCACAGCACUCUGUGGCUUGGGAUGUUGGCACCGGCAAUGGUCAAGCGGCUAUUGGUGUUAGUUCUCUCUCACUCUUCACCUACUAGCUAAAGAUAUUGAGAUAUCAUCGAUCUUGGCCACUGCCCACUAGUCAUAAGCAUCUUUCGUUUCAUGCAUUUACUUCUGAUCAUAGACUUAUUAAUUAUUACUCUAGACAUGCCUAAUUUGGACGUGGAAUGUCUUCUUGAUAUAUCUAUGAACUAAUUAGAUAUGGCAACGAUCAUCAAGAAGAAAUCCGGAUGUGUUGAAUGAUUAGUCUGAUAAAAAUAACCAUAAAUUUAUUUUCAGGUAGCUGAGCAAUACAAGAAAGUGAUAGCAACAGACAUCAGUGACGAACAACUAAAGCAUGCCAUACCACAUCCCCAAGUUCAAUACGUGCACACCCCGUUAGCAAUGUCUGAUGAUGAACUAGUGAGCUUGAUUGGUGGUGAAGAUUCAGUUGAUCUGAUUACUGCGGCUACUGCUGUGCAGUGGUUUGAUCUUGACAGGUUCUACCCGAUCGUGAAGCGUGUUCUACGAAAGCCAGGAGGUAUAAUUGCGGUCUGGUGCUAUGGUAGCAUGGAAUUCAGCCCAGAAAUUGAUGGUAUCUUAAGGAGGUUUUUUGAGCUAGGUAUACCUUUCCAAAGCCAAAGUUUCAAGAUUGCAGUACAGUGCUACAAGACACUUCCAUUUCCUUUUGAAAGUGUAGGUGUUGGGUGUGAGGGGCAGCCACUGGAAUUGGACAUGCGAAAGGAGAUGUCGUUUCAGGGACUCUUGAAGUUCCUCAGGUCACUUCCGGUGGUCCAUAUAGCUAAGGAACAAGGUGUGGAUUUAUUGCCUGAAGAGCUUCUCAAGGAAUUUGAGAGGGCUUGGGGCGAGCCAGAAAUGGUCAGGACUGCUAUCUAUAAGACAUACAUGCUUGCAGGAAAAGUCAAGCUCUAGAUGAAAAUGCGUGAUGCAGCUGUGCUUCUCCCUUCAGAGGUUUGAGCUCCAUUGUACUUCAAUUAAUGCUUGUUUAACAUUCAAGAAUAAUUAACAACGCCUGUCUGAGCUCUAUGAUUAUUAUCUAAAAAAUCGUUAAUAUCAGUUGAAUUAUAACUCGUUGAUCGUGUUUCUUGGACUACAUGAUUAACAAACUCUCCGAUGAAACUUAAACACUUAGCAGUCACAGAUUUCCUCAAGAAAUCUAGCUUCCGUUCUAUGUAUGUUUUUAUAUUUGGGACAUUGAAGUUAAAUUUGCCUAAAGAAUUGUGUCUUUGUAGUUUGAAAUUAAGAUUGAGGCCACAUGCAUGGACCUUCAAAAGGGCACACUUUAGUUAGAAUUCUUUACACAAUUUUUAUUAACAAGGUGCAACAAGCAGCGUCUCAUAUCAUCCAUUGACCAAAUUACAUGCAACAAUUUCGAUAGGGUUCAGUGGUUAUCACUAUCCAUACAGGAAAACUGGGAUGCUUUGUCGGCUUAAUUCGCUCUUACAUGCUUCAACUCUCGAACUUUCAGCUUAAUAUAUUGGAUGCCGCCGGGAAAACUGAAUCGCAUUACAGAAUUGACUUCUGAAACCAGAUUGUUAAGUUGAAAAAUCAACAAAGCCAGUCUUCAGCAUGGGUGCCGGCAGGGGGGAUUCACCAAAGAGUCUCGAGUCCAUAUGAUUCCAAUGACUAAUGCCAAUCUUAUCUAUCAAUUAUACAAGAAAUACUUGCUCUCUUUUCAUCUCAAGUUCGAACAAUGUAGUUAUUAAUAUGAUGGGUCACUAGAAGCUUACAUAGUCAUUAACUUCAGGGCCCGUGAAAUUAGUUGAAAUGCGCACAAGCGAACCCGGACACCUACGUUAAUAUAUAUAUAUAUAUAGACACACACACGCACACAAUAACUACAACAAUAACCACUUAACUUUAACUUUUCAAGUAAUUCAAACUAUGAUAUUUAUAAAUACUUUUACUCAUUAAAUAAAAAUUCAAGCAAUUCAAGUUUAUUAAAAGCUUCACACCAGUUAAUUUUUUUUAUUUUCUCUAUCUUUCUUGCAUAUCACUUCUCCUAUAUUUAUUGAUUUAAGCAUUAGAAAGUUCUGUAUUCAGAUAAAAAAAACUUAUUCUUACAUGAACAACUAAAUUCAAAGACAUGCCUGUAUUCAAGAUCAUACACUUCAUUCUAGGACACAUCCAUGAGAAAAGUAGAAUUUAAUUUUAAAGUUUUUAGGACUUCAUCUGCCACCAACUGAAAUAUCAUCACCAAUAUCCAAUGCCUAAGAAUUAUUUGCAGCUGCACUCUGUGCUUCCUACACACAGUAGAAAAGACAUAGAAGGUAACUAUUAAUUGUACUACGUAACCAACUAAGAGUUUAUUUGGAAAAAUAGUUGUUAUUAUUUUUUAAAAUACUUUUAACUCAGAAAUAUAUCAAAAAAAUAUUUUUUUUAAAAAAAAUAUUUUUUAUAUCGGCAAAAUAAUCUAAAAACACAUUAAUUUGAAGUAAAGAAAAAAAUAAAAAUAUAUUUUUAAAAAAAAACACUUUUAAAAUACAAAAACAAACAAGACAUACAAGAAUGAGGGCGCACACAAACAACAAAGCCUAUUCGAGCAGUUAUUACCAUCAAAAUCUUUUAUUAUCUAAACUCUAAAAAACGUGGCAAAAUCAUUGCAUAAUCAGGCACAAAAAAAAACUAUUUAUUGUUAUACUAAAAUUAAUUUUAAAAAAGAAAAAAUAAUAUGUUUUUGAGAAGGUUUUAAAAUAUAGUUAAAUUAUUAGAUAAGAUUUUAAGAUAUAAUAUAAUAUAAUAUAUAUUAUGAUUGAUUUAUACGGGGAUGACCCAUUUGAUGGCCAAUUGUGUCUUGUUAUCUUUGUGUGUAAGAGUUUAUUGGAGAUGCAUUUUCCUUUAAACUACCGGGUUUUGGAAUUGGGCUUGUGAUACGUAAUUGUGUCGAAAUCUAUGGGCUUUACCUUUGGUACCAAUUACAGUCUAUGGGCUUGUGAUACGUAAUUGUGUCGAAAUAUAUGGGCUUUACCUUUGGUACCAAUUACAGUCUAUGGGCUUGUGAUACGUAAUUGUGUCGAAAUCUAUGGGCUUUACCUUUGGCACCAAUUACAGUCUAGUUCAGGCCUUUAUUAGUGCGUCUUGGAAUUCCUGCUGUGUUUUUUUUUUUUUUUGCUUUUCCUCUAAUGUAGACUAGUGCACAUGUCCAUUGAGAAAAUAAUCUCCAGACCCUUCAUUCGGAUUCUUUCAAUGUUUCAAGGCCUGCGGGCAUAGAAUGUUUCACUUUCAUUAUUAUUGAGUAGAUUCAUUUUCAAUUGAAUAAAAUAAUAAUUCAUGAUUUUCUAUUAUUAUUAUUAUUAUUAUUUAUGGAAUUUAAUCAUUCUAUUUCAAUCAAUAAACACAGGCGUUUAGAACAUUGUUAAUAAACCUGACCCGGGAUCUAACCUGGUUCAAAGUUUGAGUUGUGGGAUUAUUAAGUAAACAUUCAAAACCAAAUUUGUUUUAGUUUUUUUUUAUGAAAUGAUGUUAUUUUUUAUAAAAUAAAGAAAAGAAACAACAUUAGUUUUAAUAAAAAAAAUAAAAAUAUAUGAGGUCAUACCUAUUGGGUUUAAUUAAAUAAACUUUUAUAAUGAUUCAUAAUUAAAACCCAACUUAAAUUAUUUUUCAAGUUAACGGAAUUAUCAGUUCAACCCACCAAGAUCGGCAACUAUACUUUAGACAUGCUAAGAAAAAUCGCCACAGAUAAGGUUAAUCACGGUUUGUUGUUUUUAAAUAUAGUCCUCCAACAAAUUAGAGUUCACAUUCAAUAUUCAAUAUUCUAUAUUCAAUAUCCAACAGAUAAGGUUAAUCACAUUCAAUAUUCUACUUGCUUUUUUUUUUUUUUUCUGGAAAGACUAAGGUUAUAUUCUCGAUCAGUUAAGAUUAAUAAUAUAUUUUUCCUGUCUGAUUAAAGAUAAAAAAAAUCUAUAAUAGAAUAGAAGAAUUUACGAGAACGUAACUUUUCAGACUAAAAUUUGAUUAUGAUAACUAAAAAGAGGUACAUUUUCUUAAUCAUCAACCACCUCCUUAUAUUAGAUUCUAGUCUAGUAGAUGACUCAGUGGUAAUAUCUCGAGACUAAGAGGUUUGUUUUUUUUAUGGUCUCAUGUUUGAGCCCUGUGAUUGCUAAUAUGAUGGCCACUGGAGGCUUAUAUGGUCGUUAACUUCAGGGCCCGUGGAAUUAGUCGAGAUGCGUGCAAGCUGGCCCGAACAUCCAUGUUAAUAAAAAAGAUGUUUUACCAAAAAAAAUAUUUUUUUUAAAAAAAGUUUGAGGAUUUUUUACGGAGCUAUAGGUCGAUCCAGGUUUUUCAUCUAGUCAAUCAUUUUUCUAUUUUUUCCUUAACCGGACUAGUAUAGGCAUUAUGGUCGGCUAGGUUUAGGGUCGAUCCAUCAGGCUAAUUCGAGUUUUAUAACUAUGGUUAUUAAAUUAUUAUUAAUUUUAAUAUUUAAUAUAAAUUAAGAAAAAUAUCAGAUUAUUUUUUAAAAGAUGUAAGUUUGAUAUAUAUUGAGGAUAAAAUAUAAAAUAAUUUUUAUUUAUUUAUUAUCAUAUCUUAUAUAUUACCAUCAAAUACAAUUUUGUUUUCAUCUUUUAUUUUGUAUUGUUUUCUCUAUUUUUACUAUCUUUAUUUUUUAUAUCCCGAAAAACAAUACUUAUAAAAUAUGGAGAUAUGUUCCUUAGUCUCCCAACAUUAAUCAAACUGUUUUGUUUUUUACAUUAAAAAUAAAUACAUUCUUCGCAAUGCAAUGAAAUUAUAUUAAUAUUUUGAAAGACUUAUUAUUAACAGUUGUUAAAAUGAACACUCUAAACUGAGAGUUUAUACUUUUCAAGCCUUAUUAUUAUUAUUAUUAUUAUUAAAAUACGUAUUUAUGUUACAACUUCAUGCUCUAGAAUCAAGCAACAUAAGUAUAUAAUGAAAGUAAAAUUAUACAACUUUAAAAAAGCUUGGGACUAAGAGGUUUGCUCCCUCUGUGGUCUUAGGUUCGAACUCUGUGAUUGCUCAUAAAAAAAAAAUUACAACUUUAAUAGCACAUAAGAUUAAAAAGAAAACUUACAUUCAUUGGUGAAAAAUUCUAUUAAUAAGUUUUAGAUGUGCAAAAACUUAGGAAAAAAAAAACUCUAAGAGCAGUAGUUUUCAAUUUGCAAAUUCUAUUGUUGUUGUGUUGAUACGUUGAUCCUCUUCUUCAACUUGUGUUAACACCUUCAUGUCCUUCCUCGUUCCUAUACAUUACUCCAUAUUGUUGUUGUGUUGAUACGUUGAUCCUCUUCUUCAACUUGUGCUAACACCUUCAUGUCCUUCCUCGUUCCUAUACAUUACUCCAUAGUGUCCCAAGACCCAGAUUAUUAAAAAAGUUAGCUCACAUAAUUUUAUUUUUUUAUAUUUACAAUUUUUUGGGUUUGGGGUUUUUAACAGAUAGAUUUAUUAUGGUUUGUAUAAUAUUUUAUAGAUAUUUUAAGUUUAAAUGGAUUGAAACACGAGUUUUUAAAUAAAAAACUUUAAAUCUUGAUUUUUCAACCAUUAAAACGAUUGAAAUUUGAAUAAAUUAGAUGAUAUAUUAUCUGAUUUUUUAAAAAUAAAUUUUGGGUUGGACGACAUGUCUUCCGCCAUAGUUACAAAAAAUAAUAAUUAAGAACUUAAUUGUGCGGACCUGUUAGACUCUAACAAAAUAGAUCAGGCGGGCUAACUUGACCUUUACUUUUUUUUAUAUAUAUUUUUUAAAUUAAUGAUUCUUUUCUUAUAGUUUUUUCUCUAAAUGCUUUUAAUUUAUAUUUGAAUUAGUAUUCUUUCUCUCUUAUAUUUUGUUUGGAGAGUUUAUUUUAAAUGAUGAUUAUUUUUUUAGUUAUAUAUUUAAAUUUGAAGAGUUUUUCUGAUUCGUCUAUAAUUUUUUUUUAUAUGGAUGAAAUUUAUUUUUUAAAAUAAAAUAAAAAUUAUUUUUAAAUAAUAUUUCUAAUAGAUGCCUUGCAUGAUUUUUCUCUCCUUUUAUUUCAUUUAAUCAAUUUAAUUUGUGUUUUUAUUGCUAUUAUCAUUUGCUUAAAUAAAAAAAUAUUUUAAAAAAUAAAUUUUACAAAUAUAAUCAGGUAAAUAUCUCAUCUUUUAAAAUUAAAUAAAUUUUAAAGUUCUAGUAGUUAUUUUAUCAUCAGUUUUUUAGAUAUAAAACAUUUCAUCCAGACCUCUUGAUUUUGAUAAUUCUAAAACAUUUCAUCAGAUUUUUCUCCCCUUUUAUUUUAUUCAAGUUAAUAUAACUAGAUUAAUCGACAAUCUAAUAUAACUAGAUUAAACUAGUCGACUGAUUAAGAAAAAAAAAUUAAAAAUAAAGAAGCUAACUAGAGCGUGUUCCCCGUGCAGUGCAAAGACAGGACUAACACGACUGUUACGUAGGCAAUGCAUUUAAUGCACAAUGAUGGGCCCACCACGUCGCUAGUUCAAGAAGAAGCUCAAAGUCUGGGAAUUAGAGUGCCGCCAGCCGCCAGCCGCCAUGAAGAAAAUAAAGCUGGAAUCCAUACGCCCGAGGAAAGCCGUCGAUGAAAGACACCGAAUGAAUUGAUGGGUGAGGGUCCAUCCACACAGCCCCAAUAAUGAACAGAACAGCUUCCAAGCAACAGCCAGGGCCAGGUCGAGAAGAAGAAGAGACAACUAUGUUCUCCACAUAUUUUAGUGUUUUCUCUGUAAUCUGUAAUGCUUGGAAAGCUGUAAUGCUUGGAAAGCCAAUCGUGAAAUAUAUCUUGAUAUGAGGAUGUGCAGGAGUAAUUCUAACCAUGGCUGGAUUUUAUAAUUAGUUAAAUAAACUAUAAUUAAGUUAUAUUAUGCACUCGUAUGUAUAUACAAUGGGUUCUUGAAUUUUCCGGUAUAUUUAGGGGUGUCUGAGAGUAUUAAAACAGUUGUUUUUUAAAGUGUUUUUUUAAAAAAUAUAUUAAAAUAAUAUUUUUUUUAUUUAUUUUUAAAAAAUUAUUUUUAACUUCAACACAUAAAUUUUUUAAAAACAUCUAAAAAUAUUAAUUUAAAAUACACUUUUAAAUCACAAAAAGAUGCUAAUAUUUGAUUUAAUGUACAUGCUUCAUGUUUAUAAAAAGUCUCUUUCAUCCAUGGCAAUCAAUGCUUAUCAAGUGGCCAUUCAUAUAUUGGUUAACGUGCUCUAGGUUCCCGUGAACUUUUGAUGUCUUUUUCAUACAAGCGACCCUUCAUGAAAAUAAAUAAAUAAAUAUAAUUUUUUUUUCCUUAAAUUACAACUACUCUUACAAGUUGGUUUCGAUUAUUAAAGACUAUUUUUUAAUAAAUAAACGGUAAUGAAGUUUAAGUUGCAAUAAAAGAAGUGUUUUUUUUUCAUCACUUUUGCUAAAAAAAAUUAAUUGUAGAAAAAUGUUAUUGUACAUUAAAAAGGUGUUUCAGAACUACAUUGUAUCAAAAUCUUUUUUUUUUCCUUGUAAAUAAUCUUAAAGGAAAAAACCACUUGUAUUAUUUUAAUGCGUUACAUAAAAUAAUAUUUGGUUGAAGGUGCUUGAAAAUCUAAACUUUUUUUUUUAAUUAACUAAUCCUUUUUGUAUUCAAAUACAAAUAAUCUUAAGAGGUAUUUUUUUUUAUUAACACCAUUUGAAAAAAACAAUAUUGGCUAAAUAACACAUGUAGAAAAAGUUUUGAUAAGAUAACACAGUUUAAUAAAUAUUACGAUUAAAAAACACGAUAUUUUAAUAUGAAACUAAUGGAAAACAUGGUAUUUCAAAUAAAUUAUUAAAUGAAUGAGCAUGAAUCACAAUGAGAAGAGAAGAGAGAGAGAAAAAUUGAGAAAGAAAAAGAAAAAGAAAAAGAUUUAAGAGACACACUGAAGCUUUGAUUACGACACAAUUUAUACCAUAAAAAAAAUCUUGACAAGAUGAAUCCAACGACAUCAAUAAAGGUCACUAACGGUGAUAAAAGUGGACCACACUCUUCAUCCAAAGACUAGUGAGUAAUUACAAUAAGAAGAGAAAAAAAAAAGGAAGAAAGAAAGAUACUCUCAAAGACACGUCGAAACUUUGAUUAUGACAUCACUAGUACCAUAAAAAAUAUCUCGACAAGACAAAUCUAAUGAUAUCAUGGAAUGUCAUUAACGAUGAUCGGGGUACGUCACACAUGACAGACAAGUACUCACUUGUUUUUUGCGAAAAGUAUAGCUCACUCCAAUCAUUAUUAGUUAUAAUAUUAAUGGUGUCAUAAUUAAAAUUUUAAUGUGCUUUCGAGAUCUUUUUUAUGUUUUGUUUCUCUCUUAUUUAUUCUCAACUUGAUUUUUACCUACUCAUUUAAUUUUUUUUUUAAUAUUCUAUUAUUUUCAUCAGUGAUAUUUUAAGAUGUGUUUUUCAAUUGGAGACAUGUAUAAAAAUUUAUUAAUUGGCCAGAAUUUGUUUCAAUGUGUUAUUUAACUUUUUUUAAUAGUACUUAAUUUAAAAAAAUCUUAAGCAAAUAGCAUCCAGAUAUCUUAAAAGUACAUUAUUACAUCAUCAAAAACGUCACCAGAAAGCGUCACUUUCCAUUGAUUCGAGUUUUUUAUUCCCAAUUUGCCGACGUUGAUAAUUAUACACCAAGUCACCUACAUGUACCUUUUCUUUCUUUAUUUAUCAAUUAUUUUCUUUUUCUAACUCUUUUAAUACAUUUCUUUUGCCGCUAUAUAAAUUCACAGCUCUUAUUCCAGUAGCAUUGAAUCAGAACCUUUUUUUUCUUGUAUGAGAGAAGUAAAGAGAGUGAAGAAAUGAAUGAACGCAGCACGCCAACAUCUGCAGGCAAAGGUUAUGGCAUGCCCACCUCAACUUCCUUUGCUAAACACCCGCUGCCACGGGGGCAGACCAAGAACAAGAUGUUACUCGGGGUACUCCAAUUCUUAUCAGCGUCAUCAAGCUCGAAAAAGUGAAGGCUUUACUGAAAGAAUGGGAGACGUCAUUUUCUUUCAAUUGAUGGAAAUUUCCCUCUGUAGCACUAUGUAAUAAAAAUCCAUGGGCUUUAUGGGUUUUGUUUUUCAGAAAGGUAGGAUGCCUUGUAUUAUGUAAUUGUUUCGUCAUCGAGUUUCGGCUUGGUCUCCCUUGCCUUGCUCUUGCUAUUGUCUCAGCUUUUCUCCUUGUUUGCUCUCUUAUCCCUCUGUAGCACUGUGUAAUAAAAUCCAUGGGCUACAUGAGUUUUGUUUUUCAGAAAGGUAGGAUGCCUUGUAUUAUGUAAUUGUUUCGUCAUCAAGUUUCGGCUUGGUCUCCCUUGCCUUGCUCUUGCUAUUGCUACUGUCUCAGCUUUUCUCCUUGGUUGCUCUCAUUAUCCCUCUGUUGCACUAUGUAAUAAAAUCCAUGGGCUUCAGGGGUUUUGUUUUUCAGAAAGGUAGGAUGCGCCUUGUAUUAUGUAAUUGUUUCGCCAUCGAGUUUCGGCUUAGUCUCCCUUGCCUUGCUCUUGCUAUUGUCUCAGCUUUUCUCCUUGUUUGCUCUCUUAUCCCUCUGUAGCACUGUGUAAUAAAAUCCAUGGGCUACAUGAGUUUUGUUUUUCAGAAAGGUAGGAUGCCUUGAAUUAUGUAAUUGUUUCGUCAUCGAGUUUCGGCUUAGUCUCCCUUGCCUUGCUCUUGCUAUUGCUACUGUCUCAGCUUUUCUCUCCUUGGUUGCUCUCAUUAUCCCUCUGUUGCACCAUGUAAUAAAAUCCAUGGGCUUCAUGGGUUUUGUUUUUCAGAAAGGUAGGGUGCCUUGUAUUAUGUAAAUGUUUACCCCUUCGUCAUCGAGUUUUGCCUUAGUCUCCUUGCCUUGCUCUUGCUACUGUCUCAGCUUUUCUCCUUGGUUGCUCUCAUUAGCUGUCCAAGGUAUCUGAUAAUAUGGCCUGAGUAAUCAGGGGGGGAAGUGUUAAACCUUCUUGCUUCGCUUUAAAAUAUUUUUGAAAAUAUUUUAAAAUGUUUUCUUUUAAAUUAUGCUUUUAUUUUUAAAAAAAUUAUUUUAAUGUGAUAAUAUACAAAUAUAUAUUUUAAUUAAUAUUUGAAGUAACACACUCACACACCAAAAAAAUAAAAUACAAUAAAAAAAUAUACAGGUUAAUUGCUUUUAAAAAAUUUGUUUCAAUUUUACAAAUGUUUCAUAUUUAGAAAAUCUAGUUUAACUCAAUAUAUUAUCUUAUUAAUAAUAGAGCCUUAAAUAUUUAAAAUAUUUUAUUUAAUCAAUAUUACCUAAACAUAGUUGACAUUAAUAAUUAGGAGUGGUAGUGGAUAUAGUGGGUCCAAUCUAAUUUUAGAUAUUUUAUAAAAUAUAAACAUGAUUUAUUCAUUUUUUUUUAAUUCCAUUGAGUUAGAUAAAUAUAUGAGGCUGGGUUAAAAGUUUUGUGAAUAUUAUAUCUAUUUAUGGGUUAAACAUAUCAAUUUAUUUUUAUUUUUUGAUGAUCUUAAAAAAAUAUCAUGUUGGAAUUGUUAGAAUUAAAUUAGACCUUUAAAAUACAUAUAUUAAAGAUAAUAUAAAAAUUAUUAUAAUUUUCAUAUAAAAACAAGAAAAACAAAGAUCACAAUUAAGUAUUUUGUUAAAUAAUUAAGGUGUAAAAUAAUAUAAAAAAAAGACUAGUAAAAAAAUAAUUAAGGUGUAAAAUGAUAUAAAAAAAUUAGUAAAAACAAAUUAUAAAGUACUUUUGGGUUUGUAAUUUCACUAGAAAAAUAAAAGUUCAAUCAAAAUUUUUAAAAUUUUCAUUUGUUUUUUUUUGUUAUUAAAUAAAAAAAAUAUUGAAAUUAUAAAAUGUUCUUCUAAAAAACACAACUAUAAUUUUUGAAAAAAUAAGAAAUAGAAAGAAAGGCAAGAGAAUGAGAGCCAGAUAUUAGUGUGGAGGGGAAAAAAAUUUACCGUUUAGUUCCUCAAUUUUUGUGUGCGUGAAGCAUACUACAUCCUGUAUUUAGUGCGUUAAAAAAAUAAAAUAAAAAUUAUCUAAUUAUUAAUAGAUUUACCAUUAUUUUUCAAAACUUGAUAGGCAAUUCCAAGGCAAUUCGAAUUAGGAUGUAGGUGUAAUUUUUUUUAUUGUAUUUUUUUAAUUUCAUUCUUUAUUUUUUUGAAUUAUAUAAUUAUUUAUUUUUAUUUAAUUUUUAUAUCAAAUUUAAUCCUUAUUAUUUUGAAUACUAUUUUUCCUAAUUGAUUUUUUUAAUUUUUUCUCCAAUAUUUGAUUUUAAAUUAAUUAUAUGUCAAAUUUAAUUUUUAUUAUUUUCAUUGUUAUUUAUUUUAUUUUGAAUUUUUAUUAAAACUGAUUACUUAGCAUUUUGUAAAUCUAGAAUUUUGCUAUAUUAUUUUUUAAGGUUUGUCUUUUAUAGGGUUGAUCUAGAGCUCAAAAUCAAGGUCACAAGUUUCGAAUGUUAACACGAGUUGACUUUGAUUUUUUUAAAAGUCUUUUUUUUUUAACUGAUUUUUUUUUAAUUCUUCCUACAACAUUUGAUUUAUAAGGAUUUGACAUUUAUAUUUUUUUUCAUUUUUUUUUCUAUGAGAUUAUCUUAAUCCUGUAUCUAAGAUCAUAAAGUUAGCGAGUUAACCUGAGUUAACUUAUACUUUUUUUUCAUAUAUUGCUUUUUUAAUGAAUUGUUUUAUAAUUUUGAGCUUAAAUUUUGAGUUGUAUAAUAAUUGAGUUUUAUAAUUUUAUUUAGUUUGUUUACAUAGAUGUUUUUAUGUUGUUAUUUUUUUUAAUUUAUUUAUUAUGACUGCAUUUUAUUAUUCAUAUUAUUUAAAAUAUUGGUACUAAAGAUACAUCUUUAAAAUUAUUUGAAAAAAAAAAGAUUUGACACGCGAACGAUAAAGUAAUUUCUCUGUACUAUCGGACCAAAUAAAAACUUAACAAAUGUUAUAGAAAGGUGCCUUGAUUUACGAAGGAAUGGUCUGAAAUUUUAUUUAAAAAUUAAAUAAACAGGUACCAAGAAUCUGGUCACCAUACGGCACUUCUUCCUACAUCAUCAUCCUCCUUCGCCAUGAUGAAUAUUGAUGUUAAUAAUUGGGACAUUCUGUGGCCAAGUUGCAACUAAACCCGUCGGUUCUUGUUGAUAAAGUUUAGGCACCAACGGGGCCCUUUCUUUGUCAAUAUAUGCAUUCAGGCAUAAUUUUAUGUCCAUAUAAGCCAACCAGCUCAGGCCAAGGCUAUGGCGUCUCCUCCUCUUCCAGCUUUGCUAACCUCCCGCCGCCAAGGGGCAACCAAGAACAAUCUAGUCAAAGGAUUGUGAUGAGUAAUUUACUAUCAACUAUAAAAGAAUUAGGGAAGAAAAGAAAAGGAGACAAAAGUAGGAAGGCUUUUAUUUAUUAUACUCUGCAUAAUCAAGAAUAACCUAUUGGCUAUAUUUUAUAGCCCAAACAACGUGCUUAAAGAUAGGAAAGCACUAACAACACAAAAUUAACAAUAAUUAAAAAUAUAUAGGUUAAUUGCUAUUAAAAAUUUUGUUUCAAUUUUACAAAUGUUUCAUAUUUAGAAAAUCUAGUUUAACUCAAUAUAUUAUCUUAUUAAUAAUAGAGCCUUAAAUAUUUAAAAUAUUUUAUUUAAUCUAUUAUACAAUAUGCUAAAGAAGAUUACUAUUUUCUAUUUGUUCUCUUACUAUUCACGAAGAUAAAGAUUAUUAUAAUAACAGUGUAAUGAUAUGGUUGUCCUUAUAAAAAAACUUGUUAAACAUGUAGUGGGAGUUGAGGUUGGAGUUGUUUUUUUUUUUUUUUUUUUUGUUAUGGGAUACAUUUAGCAUUGAAAGAAUAAUUGAGGAUAAAAUGGUAUGUUCUAGAUUUAUGGAGUCUGGUGCUGGGAAAUGACAUGGCUGCUAAACACCUGAUAUUGGGGUCAAGUAUGCCUGUCAGACCCUAAGCGCUGAGACUAGCCCCGCACGCCUGAAUUCAAAUCAUAUUUUUCUAUUUAAGUAGUUUAUGUUUUAUGUUUAUAAAUUUGUUAUUUCUUCAAUGGAAAUUCUAUCUUCUAUUAUUAGUAUGAUUAUUGUUGUUGUUGUUUGUAUUAUUAUUGUUGUUGUUGUUGUUAUUAUUAUUCAAGUAAACUUGAGUCAAACAUGUUUGCCAAGUAACGUAAGUCAAAAAAUUAUUUAUAAACAAAAUAUAAAUAAUUUAUAAAUAACAAACUAUCAUAAAAAUCUAAUAUAACAUUUUAGAUCUAAAAAUUCAAAUCAUAUCUUCUCAUUGAAAUAGUUUUAUUUUUUAUGUUUAUAAAUUUGUUAUUUCUUCAAUAGAAAUUCUAUUUUAUGGUUGUUAUCGAUAUUUUUUUUCAAAAAUAUUUUUUAUUUAAAAAUAUAUUAAAAUAAUAAUUUUUUUAUUUUUUUAAAUUUAUUUUUAAUAGUAAUACAUUAAAAUAAUUUUAAAUAUAGAAAAAUAAUUUAAAGAAAAGAAAAAACGAAAAAAAUAAUAUUUUUUUUCAAAAAUACUUUUGAAAUGCAAUACCAAACAUGCUAUAGUAAUCAUGUUUUUUUUCUUAUAAAUCUAAAAUUAAUAAAAAUAAUUUAUAAACUAUCAUAAUUAACAAAAUCAAGGAAAUAACACAAUUAUUAUUAUUAUUAUUAUUAAUAUAGUUAAUUUUUUAAAAAAAUAUUAUUGCUAUUGAAGAAAAAUCAUAAAUUUGAUUUGAACAGUAAAAUUAAAAAUUAUAUGAAUUUGUGUCAGACAUGUUUAAUAUUAUUAUUAAUAUUAUAAUUAUAAUUAUAAUUAUUAUUAUUAUUAUUAAAUUUGAAAAAAAAUAUUAUUACUAUUGAAGAAAUAGGUCUGGCACGGGAGUCACCCAAGUAACUUGGGUUAGGCAGGAGUGUAAGAUCCAAAUAACAAAGCUCUUGGGUUGGCUGCCAGACCCAAGGCUCUUGGGUCUGGCUUGGCCGGCAGACCCAAGUCGUUUUUAAAAAUAUAAAGUUUUUUUUUAUAUAUUUUUAAAAAAUUAUUAUUGACCCGCUGUGAAGCGCGAGCUAAUAUACUAGUAUUACCUAAACAUAAUUGACAUUAACAAUUAGGAGUGUUGGUGGAUAUAGUUGAUUCAACCUAAUUUUAGAUAUUUUACAAAAUAUGAACAUGAUUCAUUUAAUUUUUUUUUGAAUCCGAGCGAGUUAGAUAUAUCAGGCUGAGUUAAAAAUUUUGUGAAUAUUACAGAUAUUUAUGGGUUAAAUAUUAAUUUUUUUUAAUGAUUUUUAAAAAAAUACUGUGUUGUAAUUGUUAGAAUUAGAUGAGACAUUUAAAAUACAUAUAUUAAAGACGAUGUAAAAACUAUUAUAAUUUUCAUAUAAAAACAAGAUAAAACAAAUAUCACAAUUAAGCAUUUUAUUAAAUAAUUAGUGUGUAAAAUAAUAUAAAUACAUACUAGCAGGAAAAGAUUAUAAAGUUUUCUGGGGUUUGUGAUUUGAUUAGAAAAAUAAAAGUUCAAUCAGAUUUUUUAAAAUUUCCAUUUGUGUUCUCUUGUUUUCUAAACAAAACAUAUUAAAAUUAUAAAAUAACUAUAAUUCCUAUAAAAACAAGGAAUAGAAAGAAAGGAAAAAUAAUGAGAUAAAAUAUUAGUAUGGAGGCAAAAGAGAAAAAUUAUAGUUUACAUCCUAAUUUUUUAUGCUUGUGUAACAACUUAUAUCCUUUAUCUAGUGCGUCUAAAAAAAGUAAAAAAAAAUUAUCUAAUUAUUUAUAGGUUUGCUAUUAUUUUUCAAAACUCAAUAGAUAAGUCUAAUUUCGAUUAAACUAUAGGAUGUUAAGGAUAAUUUUUUUUAUUGUUUUAUUUUCAAUUUCAUACAUUAUUCUUUUGAAUUAUCUAAUUAUUUGAUUUUAUUUAAUUUUUAUAUCUAAUUUGGUUUUUAUUAUUUUGAUUGUUGUUUUUGUUCCUUUUUUUAAUUGAAUUUUAUUUUCAAUUUUUUCCUCAAGCAUUUGAUUUUAAAUUAAUUAUAUGUCAAAUUUAGUUUUCAUUAUUUUUAUUUCUAUUUUUUUUAUUUUGAUUUUUUAAAAAAAUUCAUCACUUAGCAUUUUGUUGAUUUAAAAUUUUGAUGUGUUAUUUUUUUAAGGUUUGACUUCUAUAGGGUUGAUCUAGAGCUCAUGACUAGGGUCACAAGUUUCUAAUGGUAACACGAGCUAGCUUUGAUCUUUUUUAAGGUUCUUUUUUAAUUUUUUUUUUAAUUUCUUCCUCUAAAAUUUGAUUUAUUGGGAUUUGAUCUUUGUGUUUUUUUUUUUUCACUUUCCUUUCUAUAUGAUUAUCUCAAUUUUUUAUAUAGGAUUACAAGGUUGACGGGUUAACCUGAGUUAAUUCAUAUCUUUUUUUUAAUUGUUUUUUUUAAUGAAUUCUUUUUUUAAUUUUGCUCUUGAAUUUUAGGUUGUAUAAUAAUUGAGUUUUAUAAUUUUAUUUAGUUUAUUUUCGACGAGUUUCAUAAUUAUUUUUAUGUUGUCAAAUUUGUUUUCAAUUUAUUUAUUGUUAUUGCAUUUUAUUAUUCAUGUUAUUUAGAUUAAUCAAAUUUAUUAAAGUCGGUAAAGUUAAUAACUCAAUUUUCAAAUUCUGUUUUUUAAGAAUACUUAUAUCACUUUACCACUUUUUUAAUACUGGAAAAUUUUUUUGCCGUACGCAGCGUAAUGUUGGCUAUAUCUAGUAUAAAAAAUAUUGGUAUUAAAGAUGCAUCUUUAAAAUUAUUUGAAAAAAAUAGUUUGACACGUGAACGAUAAAGUAAUUUCUCUGAACUAUCGGACCAAAUAAAAACUUAACAAAUAUUGAUGUAGUUUGUAAAUAAUAAAAAAAAACAUUAGAAAAAAAAAAACAUACCCUCCUAAUAUUUAUAAAUAUAUGUUUCUAUUAUAUAUAGUAAAUUAAGCUAUGAUGAAAGGACUCUUCUAAUAAGCUUUUUAAUGCUAUUAUAUGUAUAUUUAUAAUAUCAAAAGAUGACACUUGGAACUUAAUAUGUCAGCGAGAUUAAUUAAUUAUUGAAUUAAUUUCAUAAUUAAUUUUAAUAUUUAUGACUGUUGAGAUAAAACUAAAUAAUAGAUAUUCAGUUUAAUUUUCAGUAUAGUGUUUGAUCAACAGUCAUACUGUUUCUUCAAACAAUAAUAUUAAUUGAUUAACAAUUAUACUGUUUUAUCGUUAUAUUUCAAGUAUAUAAAAACCUGUUAUUACACAUAAAACUACAAAAAAGCGUAUAUUAUUUUCUUGGUCCUAUCUUCUUAUUUUUUAGAAGUUUAGAUGAUUUAGUUGUAUUGUGGAGAUAUUAUCUUUGUAUGAGAUAAAUAAAUACCUUAAAAAUAAUAUUUUCACAUCUCUAAACUAACUCCAUAUUUAUUUUCAUCCUAAAUAAUUUUUUUUAAAAAUGUUAUAAAAAAGUGCCUUGAUUUACGAAGAAAUGGUCUGAAAUUUUACUUAAAAAUUAAAUAAACAGGUACCUAGAAUCUGGUCACCAUACGGCACUUCUUAUUACAUCACCAUCCUCCUUCGCCAUGAUGAAUAUUGAUGUCAAUAGUUUGGACAUUCUGUGGCCAAGUUGCCACUAAGCCCGGUUCUUCUUGAUAAAGUUUAGGCACCAACGUGGUCCAUAUAAAUAUAUGCAUUUCCUUCAGCCAUAAUGUUAUGUCCAUAUAAAUGGCUAGUGUAGUUCACUCUCUUAAAGAAGAGGAGGAAGGUAGAGAGGAAAUGAGUGAUCCAAACAAGCCAACCAGCUCAGGCCAAGGCUAUGGCGUCUCCUCCUCUUCCAGCUUUGCCAACCUCCCGCCGCCAAGGGGCAAAACCAAGAACAAUCUAGUCAAAGGAUUGUUUUCAUCAUCAAGCUCCUUAUCAGGCAAAAAAUGAAGGCUGUGUGGGAAGAAAGGAGUGUAGCGCUGCCUGCCUGCGCGCUUGUGUGUAGGUUGUACUCUUUCUUCUCUCAAUAAUUGAAGUAGCCUUGGGUGCGCUGCGUGUGUGUAUGCGUGUAUGUUCCUUGUUAGAAAAGGUGUGAAUUCAUCAUGAUUAACCAUGCUAAAUUUAAUUUCCUUGAAAAAAGAAGAAGAAAAAGACUACUAGUGAUUGAGAAAAUAUCUUGGAUUUCUUCAGUAGGGGAAUUGUUCAUGGGCAUGUAUAUGUAUAUUAUGUAGUAGAAGUGAUGAAGAGCGCCUGUAAAUUGAAGAGAAAAAAAUCUAAACAGUAAUCGAAUAUCUCUUCAACUUGUGCUCUUUAUCAAUUUGCAGAAGAAAUUGUUGUGAUUUGUAUAUAUCUAUUUUUAUCUUUAAUAAUAAUUUAUUGAUUUUAAUUAUCAAAUAAAUAAAUAUCUCUUCGUAGUGAAUUAUAUGUGCUACAAUAACCUUCGUUAAGCAACAAACAGCAUAUAAAUUGUUGACUAUUAACGAUCGAUGAUUAACAAUUAUUGAUGCACUAGGGUGAUAAGAAGCCUAUUAGACAAUGCAGCGUGGCC